Molecule: ribosomal RNA, 1286 nt
Filed under: Entoria okinawaensis (Okinawa walking stick)
Lineage: Eukaryota; Metazoa; Arthropoda; Insecta; Phasmatodea; Phasmatidae
Description: l-rRNA
Rfam family: Archaeal large subunit ribosomal RNA (bases 857-1220)
Source: RNAcentral
UUUUAAAUUGAUUAAUUUUUUUUAAUUGUUAUUAUAUUUUUAAUUUAAGUUUAAUUAAUAAUUUUUUGUUUUAGUAUUUAUUUUGAAUAAAUUAUUUUAUUUAUAGUUUAUUUGUACUGUUAAGGGUAUUUACUUUAAUUUUCAAAGUAUAAAUAUUUUAGUACCUUUUGUAUCAGGGUAUAUUAAAUAAUUGAUAUUUAUUUAUUAUUCUCGAAUUGAUUAGAUCUAAUUUAUUAUGUUAUUUAUAGUUGUAUAUAUAUUAUUUAUUUUAAAUUAGGUGUGAUAUGCUAUUCAUUAAUUAAUAUAUCUAGUUUUUUAAUAAUUGAAUUUAAUUCAGCUAUAAAUUUAUAAAUUGUGUAAUUUUUAUAUAUUUUAUUUUUUUAUAGUAAAAUUUUAGGGGGUUAGCUCUAGUUUUGUUUUUAAAAUUAUUUUUUUUUAAUGAAAAAUAGGUUUUGUAAUGACCAUUUUUAAUUAGUAUUUUAUAAUUUAUUAUUUUUUAUAUUUGAUUUAUUUUUAUUUAAUUAUUUAUUGAAAUGAUUCAAUUAAUAAUUUGUUGAUUGUAAUAAUGAUUUAAUUAGUAUAUUUUUUUUUUAUUAUGUAAUAUUUUUAUAAAAUAUUUAUAAGGAAUUAGGCAAUUAUAUUUAUUCGCCUGUUUAUCAAAAACAUCUUUUCUUGUUUAUAUUUGAAAUUUAACCUGCCCAAUGAUUAAUUAAAUGGCCGCGGUAAUUUGACCGUGCAAAGGUAGCAUAAUCAUUAGUUUAUUAAUUGUGAACUUGUAUGAAUGGUUGGACGAAAUAUUGACUGUCUCUUUUAUAUUAUUAGAAUUUAAAUUUUAAGUUAAAAUGCUUAAAUUUUCUUAUUGGACGAGAAGACCCUAUAGAUCUUUAUUUCCUUUAUUUAUAAUUAUUUAGUUUAUAUUUUUUGUAAUUUUAUGGAUGUUUUGUUGGGGUGACAUAAGGAUCUAUUAUUAACUCCUUAUAUUUUUGGACAUUGAUUUUUGAAUAAUUGACCUUUUAUUAUUGUAAUAAGAUUUAGAUACCUUAGGGAUAACAGCGUAAUUCUUUUUGAGAGUUCAUAUCGACAAAGGAGAUUGCGACCUCGAUGUUGGAUUAAGAUUAAAAUUAGGUGUAGGUGCUUGAUUAGUUAGGUCUGUUCGACCUUUAAAUUCUUACAUGAUCUGAGUUCAAACCGGCGUGAGCCAGGUUGGUUUCUAUCCAUAAUAUUAUAUUUUAUAUUAGUACGAAAGGACCAUAUAAUUUAAAUAAUUUAUUUUAUUGAUUGAUAUU